RNAcentral lists this long non-coding RNA (212 nucleotides) under Lathyrus oleraceus (garden pea). RNAcentral describes it as "Pisum sativum (pea) long non-coding RNA (PSAT_LNC012762)". Lineage: Eukaryota; Viridiplantae; Streptophyta; Magnoliopsida; Fabales; Fabaceae. The record is from RNAcentral.
UAACACCUAAUUGCGAGCUAUGUGGAACCCCUGGGAACAACACUCGUGAAUUCCAAUUAUUGGCUGGAAUUCUAUUAGACCAAUUGAAUUAUGCCCAAGGAAACCCGUACUCUAAUGCCUACAAUCCUGGUUGGAGGAAUCAUCCUAACUUUUCUUAUAUUAACAAUAAUGUGUUGUUUGCUCAUAUCCCAACACCUACCACCCCCUCCUGG